This 550-nucleotide ribosomal RNA is filed under the name Fusarium solani. RNAcentral describes it as "eukaryotic LSU rRNA". The stretch from base 183 to 336 matches the Rfam family "5.8S ribosomal RNA". Lineage: Eukaryota; Fungi; Ascomycota; Sordariomycetes; Hypocreales; Nectriaceae. The record is from RNAcentral.
UCCGUUGGUGAACCAGCGGAGGGAUCAUUACCGAGUUAUACAACUCAUCAACCCUGUGAACAUACCUAAAACGUUGCUUCGGCGGGAACAGACGGCCCCGUAACACGGGCCGCCCCCGCCAGAGGACCCCUAACUCUGUUUCUUAUUAUGUUUCUUCUGAGUAAAACAAGCAAAUAAAUUAAAACUUUCAACAACGGAUCUCUUGGCUCUGGCAUCGAUGAAGAACGCAGCGAAAUGCGAUAAGUAAUGUGAAUUGCAGAAUUCAGUGAAUCAUCGAAUCUUUGAACGCACAUUGCGCCCGCCAGUAUUCUGGCGGGCAUGCCUGUUCGAGCGUCAUUACCAACCCUCAGGCCCCCGGGCCUGGCGUUGGGGAUCGGCGGAAGCCCCCUGCGGGCACAAGCCGUCCCCCAAAUACAGUGGCGGUCCCGCCGCAGCUUCCAUUGCGUAGUAGCUAACACCUCGCAACUGGAGAGCGGCGCGGCCACGCCGUAAAACACCCAACUUCUGACAUGUUGACCUCGAAUCAGGUAGGAAUACCCGCUGAACUUAA